GAUGAACGCUGGCGGCGUGCCUAAUACAUGCAAGUCGAGCGAACGGACGAGAAGCUUGCUUCUCUGAUGUUAGCGGCGGACGGGUGAGUAACACGUGGAUAACCUACCUAUAAGACUGGGAUAACUUCGGGAAACCGGAGCUAAUACCGGAUAAUAUUUUGAACCGCAUGGUUCAAAAGUGAAAGACGGUUUUGCUGUCACUUAUAGAUGGAUCCGCGCUGCAUUAGCUAGUUGGUAAGGUAACGGCUUACCAAGGCAACGAUGCAUAGCCGACCUGAGAGGGUGAUCGGCCACACUGGAACUGAGACACGGUCCAGACUCCUACGGGAGGCAGCAGUAGGGAAUCUUCCGCAAUGGGCGAAAGCCUGACGGAGCAACGCCGCGUGAGUGAUGAAGGUCUUCGGAUCGUAAAACUCUGUUAUUAGGGAAGAACAAAUGUGUAAGUAACUAUGCACGUCUUGACGGUACCUAAUCAGAAAGCCACGGCUAACUACGUG
Molecule: ribosomal RNA, 497 nt
Filed under: uncultured bacterium
Lineage: Bacteria
Description: partial 16S ribosomal RNA
Rfam family: Bacterial small subunit ribosomal RNA
Source: RNAcentral